Molecule: long non-coding RNA, 221 nt
Filed under: Homo sapiens (human)
Lineage: Eukaryota; Metazoa; Chordata; Mammalia; Primates; Hominidae
Description: long non-coding RNA NONHSAT185807
Source: RNAcentral
ACCAUUGAGCUGCCUCCACUUUGAGCAGCUCAGUGGAUGAAUAUAGUAUCUUGAGGAUACCUUUGAUUUGUGCAGGGUUUUCUUGUGCAGGUUUGUGACCCAGGUCAGCUUAGGUCAGGAUGCUGUACUGCUUGCCACAAAAUAGCCUGUACUGUCGCGUCGUUUUUUCUUGUGAACAGACUGUUUGGCAUAGCCGUAGAGAGGGGUCUGAGACAUGAAUU